This 1191-nucleotide ribosomal RNA is filed under the name Haptophyta environmental samples. RNAcentral's name for it is "SSU rRNA". It matches the Rfam family "Eukaryotic small subunit ribosomal RNA", at positions 427 to 1644 of the family's 1831-position model. Lineage: Eukaryota; Haptophyta. The record is from RNAcentral.
AGCAGGCGCGUAAAUUGCCCGAAUCCUGACUCAGGGAGGUAGUGACAAGAAAUAACGAUACAGGGCUACAUCUAGUCUUGUAAUUGGAAUGAGUACAAUUUACAUCUCUUAAUGAUGAUCAAUUGGAGGGCAAGUCUGGUGCCAGCAGCCGCGGUAAUUCCAGCUCCAAUAGCGUAUAUUAAAGUUGUUGCAGUUAGAACGCUCGUAGUCGGAUUUCGGGGCGUUCCGACCGGUCUGCCGAUGGGUAUGCACUGGCCGGAGUGUCCUUUUUGCCGGAGACCGUGCCUACUCUUAACUGAGCGGGGGCGGGAGACGGCACUUUUACUUUGAAAAAAUCAGAGUGUUUCAAGCAGGCAGCUCGCUCUUGCAUGGAUUAGCAUGGGAUAAUGAAAUAGGACUUUGGUGCUAUUUUGUUGGUUUCGAACACCGAAGUAAUGAUGAGAAGGGACAGUCAGGGGCACUCGUAUUCCGCAGAGAGAGGUGAAAUUCUCAGACCCGCGGAAGACGAACCACUGCGAAAGCAUUUGCCAGGGAUGUUUUCACUGAUCAAGAACGAAAGUUAGGGGAUCGAAGAUGAUCAGAUACCGUCGUAGUCUUAACCAAAAACCAUGCCGACUAGGGAUUGGAGGAUGUUCACUGAUUGACUCCUUCAGCACCUUACGGGAAACUAAAGUCUUUGGGUUCCGGGGGGAGUAUGGUCGCAAGGCUGAAACUUAAAGGAGUUGACGGAAGGGCACCACCAGGUGUGGAGCCUGCGGCUUGAUUUGACUCAACACGGGGAAACUUACCAGGUCCAGACAUUGUGAGGAUUGACAGAUUGAGAGCUCUUUCAUGAUUUAAUGGGUGGUGGUGCAUGGCCGUUCUUAGUUGGUGGAGUGAUUUGUCUGGUUAAUUCCGUUAACGAACGAGACCUUAGCCUGCUAAAUAGUGACGCGAACUCUUUGUUGGCGGUCCACUUCUUAGAGGGACAACUUGUCUUCAACAAGUGGAAGUUUGAGGCAAUAACAGGUCUGUGAUGCCCUCAGAUGUUCUGGGCCGCACGCCCGCUACACUGAUGCACUCAACGAGUCUCCACCUUGACCGAGAGGUCCGGGAAACCUUCGAACUUGCAUCGUGAUGGGGAUAGAUUAUUGCAACUAUUAAUCUUCAACGAGGAAUACCUAGUAGGCGCAUGUCAUCAGCGUACGUUGA